GAUGAAGAACGUAGCAAAGUGCGAUAACUAGUGUGAAUUGCAUAUUCAGUGAAUCAUCGAGUCUUUGAACGCAACUUGCGCUCAAUGGUAUUCCAUUGAGCACGCCUGUUUCAGUAUCAAAAACACCCCACAUUCAUAAUUUUGUUGUGAAUGGAAAUGAGAGUUUCGGCUUUAUUGCUGAAUUCUUUAAAAUUAUUAGGCCUGAACUAUUGUUCUUUCUGCCUGAACAUUUUUUUAAUAUAAAGGAAUGCUCUAGUAAAAAGACUAUCUCUGGGGCCUCCCAAAUAAAUCAUUCUUAAAUUUGAUCUGAAAUCAGGCGGGAUUACCCGCUGAACUUAAGCAUAUCAAUAAGCGGAGG
This 358-nucleotide unclassified non-coding RNA is filed under the name soil metagenome. RNAcentral describes it as "partial contains 5.8S ribosomal RNA, internal transcribed spacer 2, and large subunit ribosomal RNA". The stretch from base 1 to 119 matches the Rfam family "5.8S ribosomal RNA", at positions 35 to 154 of the family's 154-position model. The record is from RNAcentral.